CCCGUGGCUCAGAUGGUGGUAAAGCAUCUGCCUGCAAUGCAGGAGACCUGGGUUCGAUCCCUGGGUUGGGA
Molecule: transfer RNA, 71 nt
Filed under: Bos taurus (domestic cattle)
Lineage: Eukaryota; Metazoa; Chordata; Mammalia; Artiodactyla; Bovidae
Also listed under: 3 other names
Source: Rfam by way of RNAcentral